CCUACGGGUGGCAGCAGUGAGGAAUAUUGGACAAUGGGGGAAACGCUGAAGCAGCGACGCCGCGUGAGGGAAGAAGGAAUUCGGUAUGGAAAGCUCUAUCAGCAGGGAAGAAAAGGACUCUACGUGAGUAAAAAUCCCCGUCUAACGUCGUUCCACCAGCCGUGGUAAUACGUAGGCGGCAAGCGUUAUCCGGAUUUAGCGGGGGUAAAGGGAGAGUAUUCGGUAGUGCAGGUCUGUGGUGAAAGGCGGGGGCUCAACCAGAGGAUUGCUGGGUAAACUGUAAGACUGGAGUGCAGGAGAGGUAGGUGGAAUGCGUGGUGUAGCGGUGAAAUGCGUAGAUAUUAGGAGGAACACCGGUGGCGAAGGCAGCUUACUGGACUGUAACUGACGUUGAGGCACGAAAGCGUGGGGAGCAAACAGGAUUAGAUACCCCAGUAGUC
Molecule: ribosomal RNA, 440 nt
Filed under: uncultured bacterium
Lineage: Bacteria
Description: partial 16S ribosomal RNA
Rfam family: Bacterial small subunit ribosomal RNA
Source: RNAcentral